This 587-nucleotide ribosomal RNA is filed under the name Leporinus friderici (threespot leporinus). Its description in RNAcentral is "partial 16S ribosomal RNA". It matches the Rfam family "Bacterial large subunit ribosomal RNA", at positions 1809 to 2601 of the family's 2925-position model. The record is from RNAcentral. Lineage: Eukaryota; Metazoa; Chordata; Actinopteri; Characiformes; Anostomidae.
CAAAACAUCGCCUCCUGCAAAAAUCAAUGUAUAGGAGGUCCUACCUGCCCAGUGACUAUUAGUUAAACGGCCGCGGUAUUUUGACCGUGCUAAGGUAGCGCNAAUCACUUGUCUUUUAAAUGAAGACCUGUAUGAAUGGUGUAACGAGGGCUUAACUGUCUCCCUUCUCUGGUCAAUGAAAUUGAUCUACCCGUGCAGAAGCGGGUAUAAAAAUACAAGACGAGAAGACCCUUUGGAGCUUAAGACAAAAAGCCAACCGUGUUAAAAGCCCCUUAUAAAAACAGGCUAAACAAAGCAGCAACUGGCCAACGUCUUCGGUUGGGGCGACCACGGGGGAAAAUAAAGCCCCCAUGUGGACUGGGAAAAUUCCUAAAACCAAGAGACACAUCUCUAAGUAACAGAACAUCUGACCUAAAGAUCCGGCCCACAAGCCGAUCAACGAACCAAGUUACCCUAGGGAUAACAGCGCAAUCCUCUUCAAGAGUUCAUAUCGACAAGAGGGUUUACGACCUCGAUGUUGGAUCAGGACAUCCUAAUGGUGCAGCCGCUAUUAAGGGUUCGUUUGUUCAACGAUUAAAGUCCUACGU